RNAcentral lists this ribosomal RNA (254 nucleotides) under uncultured bacterium. RNAcentral's name for it is "partial 16S ribosomal RNA". It matches the Rfam family "Bacterial small subunit ribosomal RNA", at positions 524 to 776 of the family's 1533-position model. The record is from RNAcentral.
UACGAAGGGGGGCUAGCGUUGCUCGGAAUCACUGGGCGUAAAGCGCACGUAGGCGGAUCUUUAAGUCAGAGGUGAAAUCCCAAGGCUCAACCUUGGAACUGCCUUUGAUACUGGGGAUCUCGAGUCCGGAAGAGGUGAGUGGAACUGCGAGUGUAGAGGUGAAAUUCGUAGAUAUUCGCAAGAACACCAGUGGCGAAGGCGGCUCACUGGUCCGGUACUGACGCUGAGGUGCGAAAGCGUGGGGAGCAAACAGG